CAGAGGUCCCAAGCGUUGCUCGGAUUCACUGGGCGUAAAGGGUGCGUAGGUGGUCAGGUAAGUCGGAUGUGAAAUCUCCGAGCUCAACUCGGAAACUGCAUUGGAAACUACCUGGCUCGAGGGUUGGAGGGGGGACUGGAAUGCUUGGUGUAGCAGUGAAAUGCGUAGAUAUCAAGCGGAACACCAGUGGCGAAGGCGAGUCCCUGGACAACUCCUGACACUGAUGCACGAAAGCUAGGGGAGCAAACAGGAUUAGAUACCCUGGUAGUCCUAGCCGUAAACGGUGCACGUUUGCUGUAAAAGGAAUCGACCCUUUUGUGGCGUAGCCAACGCGUUAAACGUGCCGCCUGGGAAGUACGGUCGCAAGAUUA
Molecule: ribosomal RNA, 371 nt
Filed under: uncultured organism
Description: bacterial SSU rRNA
Rfam family: Bacterial small subunit ribosomal RNA
Source: RNAcentral